RNAcentral lists this ribosomal RNA (301 nucleotides) under uncultured bacterium. Its description in RNAcentral is "partial 16S ribosomal RNA". It matches the Rfam family "Bacterial small subunit ribosomal RNA", at positions 509 to 809 of the family's 1533-position model. The record is from RNAcentral.
CAGCACCGCGGUAAUACAGAGGAUGCAAGCGUUAUCCGGAAUGAUUGGGCGUAAAGCGUCUGUAGGUGGCUUUUCAAGUCCGCCGUCAAAUCCCAAGGCUCAACCCUGGACAGGCGGCGGAAACUACCAAGAUGGAGUACGGUAGGGGCAGAGGGAAUUUCCGGUGGAGCGGUGAAAUGCGUUGAGAUCGGAAAGAACACCAACGGUGAAAGCACUCUGCUGGGCCGACACUGACACUGAGAGACGAAAGUUAGGGGAGAAAAUGGGAUUAGAUACCCCAGUAGUCCCUGUCUCUUAUACA